This 459-nucleotide ribosomal RNA is filed under the name uncultured bacterium. RNAcentral describes it as "partial 16S ribosomal RNA". It matches the Rfam family "Bacterial small subunit ribosomal RNA", at positions 339 to 795 of the family's 1533-position model. The record is from RNAcentral.
CUACGGGACGCAGCAGUAAGGAAUAUUGGACAAUGGCCGCAAGGCUGAUCCAGCCAUGCCGCGUGCAGGAAGACGGACCUAUGGUUUGUAAACUGCUUUUGAACUAGAGAAAACCCCUUUACGUGUAAAGGGCUGAUAGUAUAGUUAGGAUAAGCAUCGGCUAACUUCGUGCCAGCAGCCGCGGUAAGACGAAGGAUGCAAGCGUUAUCCGGAUUCAUUGGGGUUAAAGGGAGCGUAGGCGGACUUGUAAGUCAGUGGCGAAAUCUUUGGGCUUAACCCAGAAACUGCCAUUGAUACUGCAGGUCUAGAGUACAGUUGCCGUUGGCGGAAUAUGACAUGUAGUGGUGAAAUACUUAGAUAUGUCAUAGAACACCGAUUGCGAAGGCAGCUAACGAAGCUGUAACUGACGCUGAGGCUCGAAAGUGCGGGGAUCAAACAGGAUUAGAUACCCUUGUAGUC